UACAAUUUAUAGAACGAGCAGUGCUUACUUCUUGCCUUGCAGCGUGGUUACUGAAACUGCGACAGUGUGCUUCUGUUACAAAAAUAAAUGUGUAAACUGGUGUUUUCACACUGCCAGUGUUUCCAUUCUAAUAAAUUAACAGACUAUGGUGAGUUCGAAAAGCUGACGUUGAAGAGAAAACACAAAUUUGCAAUAGGACAUUUAAUAAUUUUGAACCAUAAGAACACUGUGAUCAUUAUGACAGUGGCUUUUAAUUUCACCUGUGGCAAAUGUAUAUUUUAUGUAAAAUUUCGUGGGCACACAUGACAUCAGUGGCCCAUCAUUUUGAAGGAUGGACUUUCUUUGUCUUCAGGCAUAAAGGGAGGAUUCCUAAUAUUGGAUCUGGUAGAAGAAGUUGUGAAGGACGUCAGAUGCAUUAUUAUACCAACCACAACCUUGAUAUAUUGUUAAAAUGGCACACCACAUGUUCCUACUUCAGGUAAAUUUAUGUGCAUGUUGGUAGAAGUGUACAGAACAAGUAUUUCAAGACCAGUUUGUGGCUGUGGAACCAUUCAUAAACACUUCUAAUGGUUUUUCUAUUGACAGUAUGCCAUGGCGGUUCUAGAAUUGAUCAUGAAGAUCACCUCGCGUUCUUAGCACCCUUCGAUGACCUUCCACGGCAACAGGACACAUCGUCAUUCAACACUGCGUGGUGACGACUCUAACGCUGAAGCAACCCCAGAUAUGAGUGAUAUGGACGUACCUGUGGCAGUUCACGGUACUCCACUUCCUGCGGCUGUGUGGAAUUGGGCUCAGCCGUCCACAUCUUAAGGGUCCCGCCCUUGAAGAGACCUUCCGCGCGUUGCAGGGUGAGGUGGACGUCGCGUCCGAACGCUGUCAGCUUCAGACGAUGCACUUCCUCCGUCUCUGGUGAACCUCCGUCCCCAUCAUCAUCUGUCUGGACACUCCGCUUUGAUAAGGAAUGCACGUGGACCACCUCGUAAUCGGGAACUACAAAGUUGAGCUGUAUGUCCAGUCAAUCUUCACCUUCUGGUCAGAUCAGCCUGACACAAAUCAGUCUUUCGACGCCGACUUUCACUUCUGGGAUGACUCGCCACAAGAAGAUGUGCCUAACCGCAAGGUAGUAAGUGAUCUUUUGCUUCGUUUGUGUUGUUCGUCUGUUAAAUUACAGGAAUGAAGCAUGGCCUUUUGUAAUAUGCAAAUUUUUUCUACCAACUGUCAGGUGUCUUUAAAAAUUGCUUGGCUGUAAUGUGUUCCUGGAUUUAACGUUCCUGCGAGAUCUUGUGUUUGAUAUGAUACGUCUCACAGAAAAAACAGCCUGUAUCUUUGUACUAGGAAUAGAACGUAAUGCAAAUGUUCACGUUAUUUAGUUCAAGUCUCAAAGUGACUGCAUGGUAUAGAACCUUAAUUAAUCAGUAAAUAUAUAUAUUCAGAUAUUCAGAAGAUCCCUUGUUACAUUGCCCUAAAAAGGCUUAGCACGAGUAUUAAAAUAUCCUGCCACUGGGCCAUGCUCAUUUCAUAUCUACCGAACAUAUUUAGGAUUCAUUUUUAUAGUAUUCUUCCAUUUACGCCUAGGUCUGCUAAGAGUUCUUCUUACUUCAGUUAUAAGACUACACGGUGUGGCAGUCUAGAAUACUGGACACUCGCCAACGUGUAAACAUCCAAUUCCCAUAUAAACUAUAAUAAUUUAGACGGUAAUUUUUAGUAGAACACCGAUGUAAAAAAAUGGACGCAAAGUUUAAGUUAAACCACUUGAAAUCGAAGCUAUUGUAAAAUGAUAUAUAAUAAUUAUUGAAGCUGCCUGUAUAAACAUGCACGAAACAUCCCACAGAAUGAAAAGGAACUUUUAAAGAUUCGUAAUAUAAUUGCUAGCGAAGGGGUAUUAAAAUUGUAUCGCAGGGCUACUCCUUAGGUCUGUCCGUAGUGGCUGUGGGCCAUUUGUAAGAGCCUGUGGCAGUGUUUUUAAAUUUCUGUUACGUAAUUUUCCCCUUCAUAAAUUUUGCUGUUGUAACAACCCAUAUGUUUUACCUGUGGACACACGUAGGUGUAAACUGACACUAAAAGUUGUUACAUUGCUACCUCGUAUAUUGCUCUAAGUUUGCUGAUUAAACACAGUGACAGUUACAAGUAGAAUUCCACUCCUGAUCUGCACGACAGCUUGUCUUCUCAUGAACUGGAGAGUACGUAAUGGAAGUUAUACAUCUACCACUUUAUGCCCGUUAAAUCCUUGUCCGUGUGCAUUAUGUAUAAUAAAUGCAGUGUAUAUCAUGGUCCUUCA
This is a long non-coding RNA of Zootermopsis nevadensis, 2278 nucleotides long. RefSeq lists it as uncharacterized. The record is from RefSeq and is a predicted model, not a curated record. NCBI's taxonomy places the organism in Eukaryota, Metazoa, Arthropoda, Insecta, Blattodea, Termopsidae.